UACGUACUGUGCGAACGUUAUUCGGAAUCACUGGGCUUAAAGGGUGCGUAGGCGGCCAAUUAAGUAGGGUGUGAAAUCCCUCGGCUCAACCGAGGAAUUGCGCUCUAAACUGGUUGGCUUGAGUGAGAUAGGGGUGUGCGGAACUUCCAGUGGAGCGGUGAAAUGUGUUGAUAUUGGAAGGAACGCCGGUGGCGAAAGCGGCACACUGGGUCUUAACUGACGCUGAGGCACGAAAGCCAGGGGAGCGAACGGG
RNAcentral lists this ribosomal RNA (253 nucleotides) under uncultured bacterium. RNAcentral describes it as "partial 16S ribosomal RNA". It matches the Rfam family "Bacterial small subunit ribosomal RNA", at positions 524 to 776 of the family's 1533-position model. The record is from RNAcentral.